This 253-nucleotide unclassified non-coding RNA is filed under the name uncultured Phycisphaeraceae bacterium. RNAcentral describes it as "contains 16S-23S intergenic spacer region". It matches the Rfam family "Bacterial small subunit ribosomal RNA", at positions 524 to 776 of the family's 1533-position model. Lineage: Bacteria; Pseudomonadati; Planctomycetota; Phycisphaerae; Phycisphaerales; Phycisphaeraceae. The record is from RNAcentral.
UACAGAGGCCUCAAGCGUUGUGCGGAAUCACUGGGCUUAAAGGGUGCGUAGGCGGCCUCGUCAGUGCUUUGUGAAAUCCCAGGGCUUAACCCUGGAAUCGCUUGGCAUACUGCGGGGCUUGAGGUCGGUAGAGGUUGCUGGAACUCUAGGUGGAGCGGUGAAAUGCGUAGAUAUCUAGAGGAACGCCCAAGGUGAAGACAGGCAACUGGGCCGAUUCUGACGCUGAGGCACGAAAGCGUGGGUAGCGAACGGG